This 281-nucleotide ribosomal RNA is filed under the name uncultured prokaryote. RNAcentral's name for it is "partial 16S ribosomal RNA". It matches the Rfam family "Bacterial small subunit ribosomal RNA", at positions 524 to 803 of the family's 1533-position model. The record is from RNAcentral.
UACGAAGGGUGCAAGCGUUAAUCGGAAUUACUGGGCGUAAAGCGCGCGUAGGUGGUUCGUUAAGUUAGGGUGAAAUCCCGGGGCUCAACCUCGGAACUGCCUUUGAUACUGGCAAUCUUGAGUCCGGAAGAGGUGAGUGGAAUUCCUAGUGUAGAGGUGAAAUUCGUAGAUAUUAGGAAGAACACCAGUGGCGAAGGCGGCUCACUGGUCCGGAACUGACGCUGAGGUGCGAAAGCGUGGGGAGCAAACAGGAUUAGAUACCCCUGUAGUCCCUGAGCGGG